GAAAUGCGAUAAGUAAUGUGAAUUGCAGAAUUCCGUGAAUCAUCGAAUCUUUGAACGCAUAUUGCGCCCUCUGGCAUUCCGGGGGGCAUGCCUGUCCGAGCGUCAUUGCAAACCCUCAAGCACGGCUUGUGUGUUGGGUCACCACGUCCCCGAUAUUCAGGGGACGGGCCCGAAAGGCAGUGGCGGCGUCUCAGCGAUCAGCCCGAGCGUAUGGGGCUCUGUCACACGCUCGCGGUGGUUGGACCGACGUCACGUCCGGCUCUCGAGUUCUUCUCUCUCUCAGGUUGACCUCGGAUCAGGUAGGGAUACCCGCUGAACUUAAGC
Molecule: unclassified non-coding RNA, 324 nt
Filed under: plant metagenome
Description: partial contains 5.8S ribosomal RNA, internal transcribed spacer 2, and large subunit ribosomal RNA
Rfam family: 5.8S ribosomal RNA (bases 1-105)
Source: RNAcentral